UACGAAGGGUGCUAGCGUUGUUCGGAAUUACUGGGCGUAAAGCGUAUGUAGGCGGCUUUGUAAGUCGGCUGUGAAAGCCCUGAGCUCAACUCAGGAAUUGCAUCCGAUACUGCUUUGCUAGAGUUUGGUAGGGGAUGAUAGAAUUCCUAGUGUAGGGGUGAAAUCCGUAGAUAUUAGGAGGAAUACCAGAGGCGAAGGCGAUCAUCUGGGCCAAUACUGACGCUGAGAUACGAAGGCGUGGGGAGCAAACAGG
This 253-nucleotide ribosomal RNA is filed under the name uncultured bacterium. RNAcentral describes it as "partial 16S ribosomal RNA". It matches the Rfam family "Bacterial small subunit ribosomal RNA", at positions 524 to 776 of the family's 1533-position model. The record is from RNAcentral.